GCCUCCAUGGCCUAGUGGAUAGUGUCUCUGUUUUUGAAAAAUUUUGGUCGGGGGUUCGACCCCCACGGUGGCA
Non-coding RNA from Caenorhabditis brenneri, 73 nucleotides. The record is from the annotation of a GenBank genome assembly. Lineage: Eukaryota; Metazoa; Nematoda; Chromadorea; Rhabditida; Rhabditidae.